CACGUAGUUAGCCGUGGCUUUCUGGUUAGGUACCGUCAAGGCAUGAGCUUAUUCAACUCACACUUGUUCUUCCCUAACAACAGAGCUUUACGACCCGAAGGCCUUCAUCGCCACGCGGCGUUGCUCCGUCAGACUUUCGUCCAUUGCGGAAGAUUCCCUACUGCUGCCUCCCGUAGGAGUCUGGGCCGUGUCUCAGUCCCAGUGUGGCCGAUCACCCUCUCAGGUCGGCUACGCAUCGUCGCCUUGGUGAGCCGUUACCUCACCAACUAGCUAAUGCGACGCGGGUCCAUCCAUAAGUGACAGCCGAAGCCGCCUUUCAAUCUUGCACCAUGCGGUGCUAGAUGUUAUCCGGUAUUAGCCCCGGUUUCCCGGAGUUAUCCCAGUCUUAUGGGCAGGUUACCCACGUGUUACUCACCCGUCCGCCGCUAACUUCUUAAGAGCAAGCUCUUAAUCCGUUCGCUCGACUUGCAUGUAUUAGGCACGCCGCCAGCGUUCA
This 496-nucleotide ribosomal RNA is filed under the name uncultured Bacillus sp. RNAcentral describes it as "partial 16S ribosomal RNA". The record is from RNAcentral. Lineage: Bacteria; Bacillati; Bacillota; Bacilli; Caryophanales; Bacillaceae.